GCCCGUCUAGCUCAGUCGGUAGAGCGCUGGCCUUUUAAGCCAGUGGUCGUGGGUUCGAGCCCCACGGGGGCG
Molecule: transfer RNA, 72 nt
Filed under: Pythium insidiosum
Lineage: Eukaryota; Oomycota; Peronosporomycetes; Pythiales; Pythiaceae
Description: tRNA-Lys
Rfam family: tRNA
About the family: Transfer RNA (tRNA) molecules are approximately 80 nucleotides in length. Their secondary structure includes four short double-helical elements and three loops (D, anti-codon, and T loops).
Source: RNAcentral